RNAcentral lists this ribosomal RNA (399 nucleotides) under Enterococcus casseliflavus. Its description in RNAcentral is "bacterial SSU rRNA". It matches the Rfam family "Bacterial small subunit ribosomal RNA", at positions 96 to 483 of the family's 1533-position model. The record is from RNAcentral. Lineage: Bacteria; Bacillati; Bacillota; Bacilli; Lactobacillales; Enterococcaceae.
UGGCGAACGGGUGAGUAACACGUGGGUAACCUGCCCAUCAGAAGGGGAUAACACUUGGAAACAGGUGCUAAUACCGUAUAACACUAUUUUCCGCAUGGAAGAAAGUUGAAAGGCGCUUUUGCGUCACUGAUGGAUGGACCCGCGGUGCAUUAGCUAGUUGGUGAGGUAACGGCUCACCAAGGCAACGAUGCAUAGCCGACCUGAGAGGGUGAUCGGCCACACUGGGACUGAGACACGGCCCAGACUCCUACGGGGGGCAGCAGUAGGGAAUCUUCGGCAAUGGACGAAAGUCUGACCGAGCAACGCCGCGUGAGUGAAGAAGGUUUUCGGAUCGUAAAACUCUGUUGUUAGAGAAGAACAAGGAUGAGAGUAAAAUGUUCAUCCCUUGACGUAUCUACC